UUGGGCGUAAAGGGCACGCAGGCGGUCUGUCAAGUCGGAUGUGAAAUCCCCGGGCUCAACCUGGGAACUGCAUUCGAAACUGGCAGGCUGGAGUCUUGUAGAGGGGGUAGAAUUCCAGGUGUAGCGGUGAAAUGCGUAGAGAUCUGGAGGAAUACCGGUGGCGAAGGCGGCCCCCUGGACAAAGACUGACGCUCAGGUGCGAAAAGCGUGGGGAGCAAAACAGGAUUAGAUACCCGCGUA
RNAcentral lists this ribosomal RNA (240 nucleotides) under uncultured Pseudomonadota bacterium. Its description in RNAcentral is "uncultured proteobacterium partial 16S ribosomal RNA". It matches the Rfam family "Bacterial small subunit ribosomal RNA", at positions 554 to 792 of the family's 1533-position model. The record is from RNAcentral. Lineage: Bacteria; Pseudomonadati; Pseudomonadota.